RNAcentral lists this ribosomal RNA (380 nucleotides) under uncultured eukaryote. Its description in RNAcentral is "partial 18S ribosomal RNA". It matches the Rfam family "Eukaryotic small subunit ribosomal RNA", at positions 592 to 976 of the family's 1831-position model. The record is from RNAcentral.
CAAUAGCGUAUAUUAAAGUUGUUGCAGUUAAAAAGCUCGUAGUUGGAUCUGUGGUGUGCGGUGGGCUCCGGGCACUUGUUGUCUGAGUAGCUCGCCGCUGCCAUCCUUGGGUGGAACCUGUGUGGCAUUAGGUUGUCGUGCAGGGGAUGCCCAUCGUUUACUGUGAAAAAAUUAGAGUGUUCAAAGCAGGCUUAUGCCGUUGAAUAUAUUAGCAUGGAAUAAUGAGAUAGGACUUUUUCGCUAUUUUGUUGGUUUGCGCGAAGAGGUAAUGAUUAAUAGGGACAGUUGGGGGUAUUCGUAUUCCAUUGUCAGAGGUGAAAUUCUCGGAUUUUUGGAAGACGAACUACUGCGAAAGCAUUUACCAAGGAUGUUUUCAUUAA